This 662-nucleotide ribosomal RNA is filed under the name uncultured bacterium. RNAcentral's name for it is "bacterial SSU rRNA". It matches the Rfam family "Bacterial small subunit ribosomal RNA", at positions 64 to 734 of the family's 1533-position model. The record is from RNAcentral.
GAACGCUGAAGCCAGAAGCUUGCUUCUGGUGGAUGAGUGGCGAACGGGUGAGUAACACGUGAGUAACCUGCCCCUGAUUUCGGGAUAAGCCUGGGAAACCGGGUCUAAUACCGGAUACGACCAACCCUCGCAUGAGGGUUGGUGGAAAGUUUUUCGAUCAGGGAUGGGCUCGCGGCCUAUCAGCUUGUUGGUGGGGUAAUGGCCCACCAAGGCGACGACGGGUAGCCGGCCUGAGAGGGCGACCGGCCACACUGGGACUGAGACACGGCCCAGACUCCUACGGGAGGCAGCAGUGGGGAAUAUUGCACAAUGGGGGAAACCCUGAUGCAGCGACGCCGCGUGAGGGAUGACGGCCUUCGGGUUGUAAACCUCUUUCAGUAGGGAAGAAGCCUUCGGGUGACGGUACCUGCAGAAGAAGUACCGGCUAACUACGUGCCAGCAGCCGCGGUAAUACGUAGGGUACAAGCGUUGUCCGGAAUUAUUGGGCGUAAAGAGCUCGUAGGCGGUUCGUCGCGUCUGCUGUGGAAACGCAAGGCUCAACCUUGCGCGCGCAGUGGGUACGGGCGGACUAGAGUGCAGUAGGGGAGUCUGGAAUUCCUGGUGUAGCGGUGAAAUGCGCAGAUAUCAGGAGGAACACCGGUGGCGAAGGCGGGACUCUGGGC